AGAUGAUUUCCCUUCAGAAUUUACCAGCUGAUCAAGAUAUGCUUGCUAUCAGAAAAAGGUAUUAAGAUGAAAGUGUGUCCACAAGGGUUGUGUGCUGACAGAGGACAAGCUAUCAAGAAAUGCUACCAAGUCAUGUUCUGAUGUAUGCCAAGUGGAAGACAGUCAAGUCCAGAGAAGAGGAGCAUCUCAAACCCUCUGUUGGUCAAAGGAGAGAAGAUAGGAGCAGAACUCAGAGAAAGAGGCUAGAACACAUCCUGCAGUGAGGAGAUUUUGCUCUUACUUGAGGACAGACAGAGAUUCAAGAGCCAGCUAAUCGUGGAAUCUUCAUAUAGACCCAGAAACAAUAACAUCGACCAUGUGUGACGUGUUGCAAGUUACAAGGUAUCUCCAUAUGCUACCUGAUCUUCCUCAAAAGUCUAUAUUCUGGCAGGAUUACUUUAUCUAUCAUUUUGCAGAUUAGAAAAGAGAGAUGCAAUGUAGCAAAGUUAUAUGUUCAAGGAAUAACCAGAGGAUUUACUCACUUCUGGACUCUAAACUCCUAGCCCCA
Molecule: long non-coding RNA, 547 nt
Filed under: Fukomys damarensis (Damara mole-rat)
Lineage: Eukaryota; Metazoa; Chordata; Mammalia; Rodentia; Bathyergidae
Description: lncRNA (ENSFDAG00000030193.1)
Source: RNAcentral